Peromyscus eremicus (cactus mouse) is the source of this 1134-nucleotide long non-coding RNA. RefSeq lists it as uncharacterized. The record is from RefSeq and is a predicted model, not a curated record. The transcript is spliced from 2 exons. NCBI's taxonomy places the organism in Eukaryota, Metazoa, Chordata, Mammalia, Rodentia, Cricetidae.
CCUCUGAGCAGGUACAUGAAGGAGUUUCUAGACUGGAUGAAGUGACUUGAGAAGUCCCACCUUAAAUGUGGGGGUUACGGCCUGGAUUAAAGGAAUGAGGACUGGCUAUGGGCAUUCAUCUUGCUUGGUUUCAUGACUGAGGUGGAAGUGUGACCAGCCUCCUGCCAUCCUGCCUUCCCUGCCCUGAUGGACUAUGACUUCAAACUGUGAGCCAAGGGAACCCUUCCCUUCCUAAGUUCCCUUUGUCAGACACUCUGUCACGACAAGAGAAAGAAAUAAUCCAAAAAAUACAUUUAAGUAUUUAAGGAAGAUCAUUUCCUUAAACCAUGAAGAACAACCACAGAAUGUUAAUUAAGUGAGCAGAAAAAUGAGUGAAGACUGUAAACUCGUCAUCAAAAUGCUCUCGCAUCUGUACUGAAGCAGACUUGCCACAAAUGGGGCUUAUAAGUAGGAUUUUGGGGUGCUUCUGAUCUACCCCUGUUCCUUCACAGAGUAGCACUGUAGCAGAAUUCUGACGCUUCCUACUGCCGGGGAAACAACACCCAUGUUUAAAAGCCGCCAAGACGAUGAAUCCCAAAGAACAGAACUUGAGUACUCUGUGUGCCCUGCAUGACUUUAUAGGUUCAAAACUCGAUUUUGAGAGGUACAUAAAGGAGCACUCAGAGAGCAGAGGUUGGCCCGGGACAUGAGAACAGGAGCUGCCUUGGGGACACAGCAUUUCUGUGAAUGUCCUUCCUGUCACCACAGCUCUAUUCGCUGACAAAAGCCCUGCUGUUUCCAACCAAUGGCAGGUCCAGCACAAUGCACUUCACCAGGGCGGCAGUUCUGCAAAGCAGGCAAAACAAUUACUGGGAUGGAACCGGGCAGGAAACCCACUUCCUUUAUCCUUGGCAUCGAGAUGAAAAGAGGGACGGGCGGACGGUGAAAGGCCGGGCAUUCGGGCUGAUCCAUGCUGUCACCUCUUGUUACCUGCAUGAAAGAAGGGGAUUGUUUGGGUUUGAGGUCUGGACAGGCAUCUUGAUUUUCCAAACCAGCUGCUGUUCAUCCACAGGCUCGUGGCUGGCCGGAGCCACCUGCCAUAUGUUCCCCUUUAUUCCCUGGUUCGGAUCACGAUGUAUACGGCUUUUAGCUUGA